This 253-nucleotide ribosomal RNA is filed under the name uncultured bacterium. RNAcentral describes it as "partial 16S ribosomal RNA". It matches the Rfam family "Bacterial small subunit ribosomal RNA", at positions 524 to 776 of the family's 1533-position model. The record is from RNAcentral.
UACAGAGGGUGCAAGCGUUGUUCGGAAUUAUUGGGCGUAAAGGGCGCGUAGGCGGUGCUGUAAGUCUGUAGUGAAAUCUCUGGGCUCAACUCAGAGUCUGCUAUAGAAACUGCAGUGCUGGAGUGUGGGAGAGGUGAGUGGAAUUCCCGGUGUAGCGGUGAAAUGCGUAGAUAUUCGGAAGAACACCAGUGGCGAAGGCGACUCGCUGGCCCGAUACUGACGCUGAGGCGCGAAAGCGUGGGGAGCAAACAGG